AUAUACAAACCAUCACAGGGAUCAUCUCUAUAGUUCAUUACGAGAGGAGAGAGGAGUUUCUCUGUGCAGAGCACCCAAGACCAUGAGGCUGCAGGGUGGAGUUCCCUCUUGUGUGUGAAGCUGCUGUAGGUGCUGCUUCCUGCGGCUAGCUGCCCUUUGCCAUCAAUGAUCCAUUUUCUCUUUGAGAGAAUGAGAGGAGGGGAAGGCAGUCUGCGUGGA
Small nucleolar RNA from Arvicanthis niloticus (Nile rat), 219 nucleotides. RefSeq annotates it as small nucleolar RNA U3. The record is from RefSeq and is a predicted model, not a curated record. NCBI's taxonomy places the organism in Eukaryota, Metazoa, Chordata, Mammalia, Rodentia, Muridae.